AAUAAGUGCAGUUUUGCACUAUUCACGUUCAACAUUUGACCGUUCGUCUUAUUUGAAAAUUUUUUAUGAUUAAUAUUUUUAUUGCUAUUAGAUGAUAAAACAUUAAUAGUACUUUAUGUGUGACUAUUUUUUAAAUUUUUUUAAAUAAGACGAACGGUCAAACGUUGGACACAGAUAUUCACGGCUGCACUUAUU
RNAcentral lists this microRNA precursor (195 nucleotides) under Oryza glumipatula. RNAcentral describes it as "MIR812 microRNA precursor family". It matches the Rfam family "MIR812 microRNA precursor family". The record is from Rfam by way of RNAcentral. Lineage: Eukaryota; Viridiplantae; Streptophyta; Magnoliopsida; Poales; Poaceae.